Molecule: non-coding RNA, 144 nt
Organism: Flavobacterium sp. A45
Lineage: Bacteria; Pseudomonadati; Bacteroidota; Flavobacteriia; Flavobacteriales; Flavobacteriaceae
Source: Rfam
UGUUAGCCCUGAUAAAAGUGGAAAGCAUUUUUUGAUAAACGAGUAUUUUUUUCUUGAACAAAAAAAGCGACCAGAGGAAGCUCUUUUUGUUCUUAGAAAAAAACGAGUUUAUAAAAAAUCUUGAAGCGAAUAGCAGGAUUAGCU